Long non-coding RNA from Mobula hypostoma (lesser devil ray), 668 nucleotides. RefSeq lists it as uncharacterized. Lineage: Eukaryota; Metazoa; Chordata; Chondrichthyes; Myliobatiformes; Myliobatidae. The transcript is spliced from 3 exons. The record is from RefSeq and is a predicted model, not a curated record.
ACGGACCAUGGGUGGGGCUGGAAGAAGACGGGUUAAAAUACGGGUGGUUUGCAUCUGGAAUGAGCUGCCCGAGAAGGCAGGAACAUUAGCGACACUUAAGAGGCAACUGGACAGGUACUUGGAGCAGGGAAUACUGAGAUGCGGAAUUAAUGCAGGAGAACCUUCAAGAAUGCCCUGUCUGGCUGCCCCAUUGUGUGGUAUGGAAGCUGCAAGCCAUCAGACUACAAGACCCUACAGAAGAUGGUAAGAACCACCAAGAGGAUCACUGGGUACCCCUUCUCUCCAUUUAUGACAUUUAUUGGGUAUAUUGCAGACAAAGGUCCCAAAGCAUUGUUGAAGAUCUCCACCACCCAUCCCACAAUCUCCUUGACCCACAACCAUCAUGAAGGAGGUACGGAAGCAUGAGGACUAGCAGUGCCAGACUGGGUAACAGCUUCUUCCCUCAGGCUGUGAGACUAAUGGAUACCCUGCCACCACCGAGGUCUUGUCACUAGGUCAGCGAGCUGUUUGCUUUAUACUGUACUGUUUACUGUUCACCUGUGACACAUGCAUUUUGCAUUAUAUUUCAUUAACUUAUUUAUGGUAAUAUUUAUGUUUCUUUGUAAGUUAUAUAUUUUGUGUGUGCACUGUGGUGCAGAGGAACAUUGUUUCAUUUGGUUAUAUAUGUA